Molecule: non-coding RNA, 453 nt
Organism: Paramuricea clavata
Lineage: Eukaryota; Metazoa; Cnidaria; Anthozoa; Malacalcyonacea; Plexauridae
Source: the annotation of a GenBank genome assembly
CGAAUAUCCGCCAGUUUUGGGUGGCAUCUAAUUCUCGUUAACCAAUGCAGACAAUUAAAACAAUGUGAAAAGCAAUUUUUCAAAAUAAACUAAGCAUUUACAAAGCAAAUUUACCAUCAUUCGUCCAAAACUGAAUUAUAAAAAGUCGCUGUUAUGUGGACUUAUCUCGCAGACUUCGGCUGAAAUGCCACCCAAAAAUGGCGGCGUGAGAAAGGCCAAUUGAUUUCCACAUAAUCACUACAAUCGCUGGUACAUUUAUUCAGCAAUCGUAACGAUUGAAGCGAUCGUAACGAUCAUAACCAGACUUUAAAUGAAAACAUUGAGAGAGCAAAAUUGGUCAUAAAGAAAAGUGUGUGGGCGGCCGGUGAGGUGGUCCACCUCUUGUAUAAUUUGUGAAUUCAUGUAGUGUUGUAUGAAUCGAAUAAAUCUGUAUCCCAGUCCACUAUACCGUUG